GGCUGCAGAACACGGGAGCAAGGGCAGGGCAGGGUUCAGAGGGGAGGGUGCUAAAGCCCAUGCUCCACACCAGUGCUCUCCAGCUUGUGCUCACAGGGAGUCCUGGGGUGGCAGACAUCUCUGAGCUGAUUCCUCCCUGGUUACAGCUGCUGGGUUCCUGAGCAGGUGGGACUGCAGAUCAGGUCACUGGGCCCAUUCAGCAGAAUUAUAAAUAGCAGCUUAUGCCCAGCCUGCCCCAGAGAACAGCCACAGCCACCACAGGGCUCAGGGCCCCGUCCUCCACUCCUGAAGCCAUCCCUUUGAGACAAGGCCUGCCCCUCCCCUGCAUAGCCAGUGGGUUCCCAGGAAGGGGUUGUCAUCUGCUUGCUGUCCCUCAUUCCCAGCCCAGCUCAGAGCCCCUCUGCCUUUUCCUGCUUGGGGCCUGGCCUUGCACCUGUCAGCAGUGUGAGGGAGAAGACUCCCAUGGAGGUUUCCUUAGAGAAUGCUGAAGAGGAGGCAUCCAGAAGGCCUCCUCUCAUCCCCAGCCUACGUUCCUAUACCUGGCUCUCUGCUACCCCAGAACCCUACAUUCCAC
Molecule: long non-coding RNA, 574 nt
Filed under: Fukomys damarensis (Damara mole-rat)
Lineage: Eukaryota; Metazoa; Chordata; Mammalia; Rodentia; Bathyergidae
Description: lncRNA (ENSFDAG00000030527.1)
Source: RNAcentral